This is a long non-coding RNA of Jatropha curcas, 757 nucleotides long. RefSeq lists it as uncharacterized. NCBI's taxonomy places the organism in Eukaryota, Viridiplantae, Streptophyta, Magnoliopsida, Malpighiales, Euphorbiaceae. The record is from RefSeq and is a predicted model, not a curated record.
UUUUGAGUCCGUCCUCUAUGAUUAGGGUACAUAUUGGAUGGGCCCCAGAUAUGUUGGGCCCAUAAAGUAUUGGAGCGACGAGAAAUUGGGCCACAGAGUAUUGGAACGACAACAAAAAUUCAUGAAAUAGUUUAUCGGCGGUGACCGUCCUCUGCAACCAGAGCACGGCUAUGCUCUCUUCUCUGGUGGAAUUUUAGUUGAAUUUGACAAUUAAAAUUAGAAUAUAAGAUCUGAAACUCAUCGUAGAAGAAGAUGAGGAAAUACCAAUCUGCAGAAUGAAUCGCUUUGGCAUACGAAAUUCAGAAUCUCCAAAUAGCCAAUUGCUUAAAAGUCACCAAAAGCAGAUUAAGACCAGUGUCCAUUGAAGAUGAAGAAGCUAUCAGCAUAAUUUCUGAGCAGUGUCUCAAUGUACAUGGAACUUCCUUAAUGGACUUAUAAGCAUUUUUGUAGGAUCAAUUUGUAGGGAAAUGGAAGAAUUACAAAUUCCUGCUAAAUGCCAAACAGACAAGCAUUGUUACUUGUUUUGUAGGGAUUAAGCUUGAAAGUUUAUAGCUUUCAACAACAAUGGCAGUUUUCUCAGGCUGAUCAUUUGGUUUGGUCAGUUAUGAAAAUGGUCCCACUGAAAGCAUGACAUAUCCCCAUCCAGUGAACAGUUUAGUUUAAUCUCUUUUCCUUUUCGUGCACUAUUUUUUUCUUUGCAGAACGAAUAAUAGAUUGGUAUUCAUCUUUUGCGUAUAUAUGCAUAGCCAUUUUGAUA